This is a long non-coding RNA of Helianthus annuus (common sunflower), 418 nucleotides long. RefSeq lists it as uncharacterized. NCBI's taxonomy places the organism in Eukaryota, Viridiplantae, Streptophyta, Magnoliopsida, Asterales, Asteraceae. The transcript has 3 exons. The record is from RefSeq and is a predicted model, not a curated record.
AUAUGGUACGAGAGAGAGGGAGAGAAGGAGAAAAACCUUCUCCUUCAACAACAACAAGAAAUCCAGCAAAUCAAAGAGGUUCUAAGCCUGAAACUGAAUGCAUGUAUUGAGAUUCUUGAUCAUCUAAGUGUCUCUAACAUAAGGAGUGAAAAAGGAGGAAACGAGCCAUUCCGGGUCACAAACAAGGCAACGUAAAGGAAAGGCUACUUGAUCGAUGGCACUACUUGGAUCGAACACACUCAUGAUGCACGCUUCCGCGAAGAUCCUAUUUAUGGUUUAAGCUUUUGGUUAAAUGUUUUUGUUAAAACGGGUCUUUUGUAUGUAAGUCAACCCGGUAGUGGUUAGGUAUUAAACUUGUAGUUAAAGACUUGGUUAAUACUUUAUGAAAUAUUGGGGUAUAAACUCUUUUGUUAGUUAA